GACAGAGGUGGCAAGCGUUGUUCGGAAUCACUGGGCUUAAAGGGCGCGUAGGUGGUAGUGCAAGUCUGAGGUGGAAUCUUAGGGCUUAACCCUAAAAUUGCCUUGGAAACUGCAUUACUUGAGUCAGUGAGGGGAGGGUAGAAUUCCUGGUGUAGCGGUGAAAUGCGUAGAUAUCAGGAGGAAGGCCGGUGGCGAAGGCGGCCCUCUGGCGCUGAACUGACACUGAGGCGCGAAAGCGUGGGUAG
This 245-nucleotide ribosomal RNA is filed under the name uncultured bacterium. RNAcentral describes it as "partial 16S ribosomal RNA". It matches the Rfam family "Bacterial small subunit ribosomal RNA", at positions 524 to 768 of the family's 1533-position model. The record is from RNAcentral.